AUGUAUAGGUCCAGCAAUAAGUUUUGUAACAGCCUGUGUGGUAUCUUUCUCUACUUCUUUCAACCAUCAUGGAUAGGUGAGGCCCUGAGGGUUUUCAGUAACAAAAAUGUGAACUGUUGUGGUCCAGAAUUGAACCAUGUAUAUUGGCAUAAGGGUAUUGAUUGGCCUCAAAUCCUUUGUUGGCUGGGUGCCACUCUGUCGCUGCCAUUUACUUGUUGGAACAUAAAAAUGACUAUAUCCUUUUGUUCUGUAACUAUAUGCUUGCUUUGUUACCUGACAAUUGGCCAACAUGUAUUGUCAAACCUUAUGAAUUUGUCUCUGACAAGCCUGGAAUGUUCAUGCCAAAUUGUUGACAACAUACCAGGGAAAUUGCAAAGAAAAUAG
RNAcentral lists this ribosomal RNA (384 nucleotides) under Triticum aestivum (bread wheat). RNAcentral describes it as "partial small subunit ribosomal RNA". Lineage: Eukaryota; Viridiplantae; Streptophyta; Magnoliopsida; Poales; Poaceae. The record is from RNAcentral.